RNAcentral lists this ribosomal RNA (147 nucleotides) under uncultured fungus. RNAcentral describes it as "partial small subunit ribosomal RNA". It matches the Rfam family "Eukaryotic small subunit ribosomal RNA", at positions 1294 to 1460 of the family's 1831-position model. The record is from RNAcentral. Lineage: Eukaryota; Fungi.
UUAGUUCGUGGAGUGAUUUGUCUGGUUAAUUCCGAUAACGAACGAGACCUUAACCUGCUAAAUAGCACUGCUCCCCAUCGCGGGGGUAGCUGGCUUCUUAGAGGGACGAUCGGUUUUUAACCGGUGGAGGUAUGAGGUAAUAACAGG